This 1443-nucleotide ribosomal RNA is filed under the name uncultured organism. RNAcentral describes it as "SSU rRNA". It matches the Rfam family "Bacterial small subunit ribosomal RNA". The record is from RNAcentral.
UCAUGAUGAACGCUAGCUACAGGCUUAACACAUGCAAGUCGAGGGGCAGCAUGGUCUUAGCUUGCUAAGGCCGAUGGCGACCGGCGCACGGGUGAGUAACACGUAUCCAACCUGCCGUCUACUCUUGGACAGCCUUCUGAAAGGAAGAUUAAUACAAGAUGGCAUCAUGAGUCCGCAUGUUCACAUGAUUAAAGGUAUUCCGGUAGACGAUGGGGAUGCGUUCCAUUAGAUAGUAGGCGGGGUAACGGCCCACCUAGUCUUCGAUGGAUAGGGGUUCUGAGAGGAAGGUCCCCCACAUUGGAACUGAGACACGGUCCAAACUCCUACGGGAGGCAGCAGUGAGGAAUAUUGGUCAAUGGGCGAGAGCCUGAACCAGCCAAGUAGCAUGAAGGAUGACUGCCCUAUGGGUUGUAAACUUCUUUUAUAAAGGAAUAAAGUCGGGUAUGGAUACCCGUUUGCAUGUACUUUAUGAAUAAGGAUCGGCUAACUCCGUGCCAGCAGCCGCGGUAAUACGGAGGAUCCGAGCGUUAUCCGGAUUUAUUGGGUUUAAAGGGAGCGUAGAUGGAUGUUUAAGUCAGUUGUGAAAGUUUGCGGCUCAACCGUAAAAUUGCAGUUGAUACUGGAUAUCUUGAGUGCAGUUGAGGCAGGCGGAAUUCGUGGUGUAGCGGUGAAAUGCUUAGAUAUCACGAAGAACUCCGAUUGCGAAGGCAGCCUGCUAAGCUGCAACUGACAUUGAGGCUCGAAAGUGUGGGUAUCAAACAGGAUUAGAUACCCUGGUAGUCCACACGGUAAACGAUGAAUACUCGCUGUUUGCGAUAUACUGCAAGCGGCCAAGCGAAAGCGUUAAGUAUUCCACCUGGGGAGUACGCCGGCAACGGUGAAACUCAAAGGAAUUGACGGGGGCCCGCACAAGCGGAGGAACAUGUGGUUUAAUUCGAUGAUACGCGAGGAACCUUACCCGGGCUUAAAUUGCAGAUGAAUUACGGUGAAAGCCGUAAGCCGCAAGGCAUCUGUGAAGGUGCUGCAUGGUUGUCGUCAGCUCGUGCCGUGAGGUGUCGGCUUAAGUGCCAUAACGAGCGCAACCCUUGUUGUCAGUUACUAACAGGUUCCGCUGAGGACUCUGACAAGACUGCCAUCGUAAGAUGUGAGGAAGGUGGGGAUGACGUCAAAUCAGCACGGCCCUUACGUCCGGGGCUACACACGUGUUACAAUGGGGGGUACAGAGGGCUGCUACCACGCGAGUGGAUGCCAAUCCCCAAAACCUCUCUCAGUUCGGACUGGAGUCUGCAACCCGACUCCACGAAGCUGGAUUCGCUAGUAAUCGCGCAUCAGCCACGGCGCGGUGAAUACGUUCCCGGGCCUUGUACACACCGCCCGUCAAGCCAUGGGAGCCGGGGGUACCUGAAGUGCGUAACCGCGAGGAGCGCCCUAGGGUAAAACUGG